This 345-nucleotide ribosomal RNA is filed under the name Phorodon humuli. Its description in RNAcentral is "partial 12S ribosomal RNA". Lineage: Eukaryota; Metazoa; Arthropoda; Insecta; Hemiptera; Aphididae. The record is from RNAcentral.
AAACCAGGAAUAGAUACCCUAUUAUAAAAAUUUAAAUUAAUUUGCUAAAAAAUUAAUAGUUAUGUUCUUUAAAUUUAAAAAAUUUGGCGGUAUUUUAGUCUUAUUAGAGGAACCUGUUUUUUAAUUGAUAAUCCACGAUUUAUUUUACUUAUUUUAAAUAAUUCAUAUAUCGCUGUCAUGAAUAUAUUUAAAAAUUAAUUUUCUUUAUUUAUUUUUUUAAUUUAUGUUAAGUCAAGAUGUGGUUUAUAAAUAAGUAUUUAAUGGGUUACAGUAAAUUUUAUUUAUGGAUUUAAAAUGAAAAUUAAAAUGAAAUUGGAUUUAAUAGUAAAUUUAUUUAUUUAAUAA